AUCACGAAUGCGGACGGAACUACAUGGUCUCCAAAACCCGAGGUCGUGGGUUCGAAUCCCACCGGCUCCACUUUCGAGUUCUCACUCGGAGCCGUAGCUCAGCCUGGUAGAGCGCGAAAACGUUUCGUCAAUUCUUGUCGUGAUGAC
Molecule: Y RNA, 147 nt
Filed under: Planctomyces sp. SH-PL14
Lineage: Bacteria; Pseudomonadati; Planctomycetota; Planctomycetia; Planctomycetales; Planctomycetaceae
Description: Y RNA-like
Rfam family: Y RNA-like
About the family: In Deinococcus radiodurans Rsr is tethered via Y RNA to the exoribonuclease PNPase and channels single-stranded RNA into the PNPase cavity.
Source: Rfam by way of RNAcentral